UACGGGAGGCAGCAGUAGGGAAUCUUCCGCAAUGGACGAAAGUCUGACGGAGCAACGCCGCGUGAGCGAUGAAGGCUCUCGGGUCGUAAAGCUCUGUUGUCAGGGAAGAACAAGUACCGGAGUAACUGCCGGUACCUUGACGGUACCUGACCAGAAAGCCACGGCUAACUACGUGCCAGCAGCCGCGGUAAU
Molecule: ribosomal RNA, 192 nt
Filed under: Bacillus sp. L21-H08
Lineage: Bacteria; Bacillati; Bacillota; Bacilli; Caryophanales; Bacillaceae
Description: partial 16S ribosomal RNA
Rfam family: Bacterial small subunit ribosomal RNA
Source: RNAcentral